AUAUCAGUCAUGCAUAGCAUAUCAAUAAGCGGAGGAAAAGAAACUAACAAGGAUUCCCUUAGUAACGGCGAGUGAAGCGGGAAGAGCUCAAAUUUGAAAUCUUCAAGGUUUUACCUUGACGAAUUGUAGUUUAAAGAAGUGUUUUCUGUUGAAGUUUUGGUAAAAGUUCUUUGGAAUAGGACAUCAUAGAGGGUGAGAAUCCCGUAUUUGACCAUUACUUUCAGCUUUGUGAUACACUUUCAAAGAGUCGGAUUGUUUGGGAAUGCAGUCCAAAAUGGGUGGUAAAUUUCAUCUAAAGCUAAAUAUUGGCGAGAGACCGAUAGCGAACAAGUACCGUGAGGGAAAGAUGAAAAGAACUUUGAAAAGAGAGUUAAACAGUACGUGAAAUUGUCAAAAGGGAAGCGUUUGACACCAGUGUUGUUUUCUCGAAAAUCAAUUAAAAAGAGUUGGAUUUUGUGUUGUAUUGACUUUAUCAGCUUUCUUCACUCUUUUCCAGCUUUUUUUAAUGCACUUUUCGUUUAACAAGUCAACAUCAGUUUCUUUUGUUGUAAAAAGGUCAUUGGAAGGUGGCUUUCUCUUCGGAGAAAGUGUUUAUAGCCUUUGACUCAUGCAAUCGGAGAGACUGAGGUCUGCAGCGUAGAUCCUUCGGGGUUAGAUACAUUUGUGCUAAGUUAUAGCUUUUCAUAGACAACUUGUUGACUAUGUUUAGUCUUGUAGCUUACCCGCUUAUGCUAUUUUACCUACGCUUAGGAUGUUGAACUCUAUCACACACA
This 773-nucleotide ribosomal RNA is filed under the name uncultured Neocallimastigales. RNAcentral describes it as "partial large subunit ribosomal RNA". It matches the Rfam family "Eukaryotic large subunit ribosomal RNA", at positions 22 to 615 of the family's 3401-position model. The record is from RNAcentral. Lineage: Eukaryota; Fungi; Neocallimastigomycota; Neocallimastigomycetes; Neocallimastigales.